This 497-nucleotide ribosomal RNA is filed under the name uncultured bacterium. Its description in RNAcentral is "partial 16S ribosomal RNA". It matches the Rfam family "Bacterial small subunit ribosomal RNA", at positions 28 to 507 of the family's 1533-position model. The record is from RNAcentral.
GAUGAACGCUGGCGGCGUGCCUAAUACAUGCAAGUCGAGCGAACAGACGAGGAGCUUGCUCCUUUGACGUUAGCGGCGGACGGGUGAGUAACACGUAGGUAACCUACCUGUAAGACUGGGAUAACUUCGGGAAACCGGAGCUAAUACCGGAUAAUAUUUCGAACCGCAUGGUUCGAUAGUGAAAGAUGGCUUUGCUAUCACUUAUAGAUGGACCUGCGCCGUAUUAGCUAGUUGGUAAGGUAACGGCUUACCAAGGCAACGAUACGUAGCCGACCUGAGAGGGUGAUCGGCCACACUGGAACUGAGACACGGUCCAGACUCCUACGGGAGGCAGCAGUAGGGAAUCUUCCGCAAUGGGCGAAAGCCUGACGGAGCAACGCCGCGUGAGUGAUGAAGGUCUUCGGAUCGUAAAACUCUGUUAUUAGGGAAGAACAAACGUGUAAGUAACUGUGCACGUCUUGACGGUACCUAAUCAGAAAGCCACGGCUAACUACGUG